RNAcentral lists this ribosomal RNA (361 nucleotides) under Pityogenes bistridentatus. Its description in RNAcentral is "partial 16S ribosomal RNA". Lineage: Eukaryota; Metazoa; Arthropoda; Insecta; Coleoptera; Curculionidae. The record is from RNAcentral.
GUAUUUUGACCGUGCUAAGGUAGCAUAAUCAUUAGUUUCUUAAUUAGAAGCUGGAAUGAAAGGUUUGAUGAAAAAACUGCUGUCUCAUUUUUAUAAUUUUGAAUUUUAUUUUUAAGUAAAAAAGCUUAAAUUUAAAUAAAAGACGAGAAGACCCUAUAGAGUUUAAUAUUUAAAGUAUAUAAAUUAUAAAUUAUAGAAUUAAUUUUUAUUGCGUAAAAAUAUUUAAUUGGGGUGAUUUAAAAAUUAAGUUAACUUUUUUUUUUAAUAAACAUUGAUAUAUGAAGUUUAAUGAUCCUAAAAUUUAUUUUAGAUUAAAAGAAAAAAUUACCUUAGGGAUAACAGCGUUAUUUUUUCUAAGAGU